AGAAUACAACAAAGCCGAGGGCAAAGAAGACAAUGAUGAAAGGAAGCAAAAGAGGUGUCACAGUUGCAUACACGAGGCCUAAUAGAAAAUACAGCUGAAUUCGAGGUUCUCCUGUGUUGAAACCAAGACUUCCUGGACCCUUUGUCUCUUCCCUGUCCUUUUCAGUCUUCACUAAGAAAAUGUUCUUAAAGUGAAACAUUAUCUGGGGCUUCA
Molecule: unclassified non-coding RNA, 213 nt
Filed under: Hevea brasiliensis (rubber tree)
Lineage: Eukaryota; Viridiplantae; Streptophyta; Magnoliopsida; Malpighiales; Euphorbiaceae
Source: RNAcentral